Molecule: long non-coding RNA, 760 nt
Organism: Arabidopsis lyrata subsp. lyrata
Lineage: Eukaryota; Viridiplantae; Streptophyta; Magnoliopsida; Brassicales; Brassicaceae
Exons: 2
Source: RefSeq, a predicted model, not a curated record
UCACCCAAACAUCUUUUAUCUCUUUGUACCCAAAUAUCUUUUAUCUCUCUCUUUUUCGUUAUCUCUAUCUCUCUUAUUACUUUUUUUUUUCUUCCUCUCUUCUUCAUCUUUUUCCCUCACCUUGUACCAAUGAUAGUUAAUAGUGAUUUAUGAUGAAUUAAUUUGUUGCCGGAAUUUGAGAGAGACGACUCCUCAAUGAAUUUCAAUUUUCAUAUCUUAGAUUCGUAUCCAUCAGAUCUGUGAUUUGAAUUUCGGAAACCCAAUUUUCUCCUCCUUGAGAUCCUCAAGAAGCUUCCCAAAUCUCAGAGCAACGUCAUCUUACUCAUCUAAAUCUCCAUGGACGACAUACACGAAUGCUCUAAGUCUCGUCUUGUUUAAGUCUCACCCAAACAGAUCCGGCUUGGGGUAUCAUUUAUCAAUGAUAUAAGGAAAGAGGUUUUGUUGAAAUCAUGAAUCCUAGAUUAAAUCGACAAGAAGAAGAAGCUUCAUGAGAAGAAAAGUGGCUAAUUUGCCCUAUUUUGUCUGAAGAUUCGAUAGGGGUGAAAAUAUGUUUUUUGGAGAGUGAGAAAUAAAUUAGACGUGGAUUGAAAUUACCACGUGGUUAGAGUUUGGUGGAUGUGCAUAGAUGGUCGAUAAUUUGAAAUGAUUGUGUUGCAAAUUUCGAUAUAAAAUUAAAAACAAGACUGUCAUAUGUUCAAGAUUCUAUGGAUAGUUUAUAUUUUGUCCCUUAAAAAUAUUUUUGUGUCAAUGACUUCCCACA